Molecule: unclassified non-coding RNA, 280 nt
Filed under: Melitaea cinxia (Glanville fritillary)
Lineage: Eukaryota; Metazoa; Arthropoda; Insecta; Lepidoptera; Nymphalidae
Description: misc RNA ENSMCXG00005016363.1
Source: RNAcentral
CCCUCUCUUCCCGUGGGUGUCGUAAGAGGCGACUAAGGGAUAACACAGUUCCACUACCACCUUGGAAUUAAAAAAGCCGACCGGUGGCGGGAUAACCACCCAACUGCUGGCUUUGAAAUACACAGGCCGAAGACGGGCAGCAGAGUCUUCGGUGCGACAAAGCCAGUACUGCGGUCACCAACCCGCCUGCCCAGCGUGGUGACUAUGGGCAAAACACAUGAGUUCACAUUAUUUUUGGCGUCAACUUGUGGAGGCCAAUGUCCAGCAGUGGACUGUAUAG